RNAcentral lists this ribosomal RNA (496 nucleotides) under uncultured bacterium. RNAcentral's name for it is "bacterial SSU rRNA". It matches the Rfam family "Bacterial small subunit ribosomal RNA", at positions 8 to 518 of the family's 1533-position model. The record is from RNAcentral.
AGAAUUUGAUCUUGGUUCAGAACGAACGCUGGUGGCGUGCUUAUACAUGCAAGUCGAGCGAGGCAGCAAUGCCGAGCGGCGAACGGGUGAGUAACGCGUAAGCAAUCUGCCCCAUAUCAGGAAAUACCCGUGCCAACGCGCGGUUAAUGUCCAGGAGAGUGGCCCCCUGCAUGGGGGGUUGGCUAGAGAUUUAUCGGUAUGGGAUGAGCUUGCGUCCGAUUAGCUAGUUGGCGGGGCAACGGCCCACCAAGGCGACGAUCGGUAGCCGGCCUGAGAGGGUGAUCGGCCACAUUGGGACUGAGAUACGGCCCAGACUCCUACGGGAGGCAGCAGUAGGGAAUAUUGCACAAUGGGGGAAACCCUGAUGCAGCAACGCCACGUGUGGGAAGAAGCAUUUCGGUGUGUAAACCACUGUCAUGAGGGAAUAAGGCCCGCCUUCGGCGGACUUGAAUGUACCUUGAGAGGAAGCACCGGCAAACUUCGUGCCAGCCGCGGC